GUUAUUGAAGUUUUAUUAAAUAUUAACCUUUCAAGUUAAAGUACCUUCUAACCAAGGCAAUAAUA
This 65-nucleotide transfer RNA is filed under the name unidentified. RNAcentral's name for it is "Cupuladria biporosa tRNA-Glu". The record is from RNAcentral.